AGAAACAGGAAACAGGCCAGGUGGAGACAUAAAGAGAAGUGCCAACCUCCGAAUGAUAACAUCCUUUACUGGACCUCAGGUGUCUUUUUUGUCCGGGCACCUGAAGAGCUAUUUCUGAAGGAAAGGGCUACAUAGCGCUCGACGCGGAGACUCCUGAAACACCCUUCUUCACCUUUUCAAAUUUCCUUUUUGUAACUGGUGAGGACUCACCUCCUCUAAAAAGUUUAUCCAAACAAGAAAGAAGUUGGUUAUGGCCGUGCGACUGCGGUCCCGUUAAUGCAGACACACGUCUAUCAACUCAGGCACCAACGGUUAGUCUCUUACCGGCAGACGGGAUGCUUGCAUCUGGCCAACGCCCCUUCUGUGACGCUCCUCCCGUCCCACUGUCCGCCAGAGUCACCCUCCAGCACCUCUGGUUAUUACUUACUCUGCUGCGUGUGGUCUCAGUCGGAAGGCUGUUGUCUCCUGCGCUGGUGGGAUGAGCCUGCACUCAGCCGGCCGCCCACCAAGCCGCUCCGGAUGUGUCAGAGACGUCACAGGAGCCUGGAAGGAAGAUGCCAGCGUUACGUCCACUGACAGAUGAGGAACCUGAGGCAUCGAUAGAUUAACUAGUUCAUCCCACACCUCACGGCCAGCAAGUGGCAGAGCUGGGAUUUGGCCCUCCGCAAUCUAAUUCUAGAACACAGACUCUCAUCCUCUGCGCUAUGCUGCUUUUCUUUGAAAAUAGUUAUUUCAUUAAAGAAAUAUUUACUGA
Suricata suricatta (meerkat) is the source of this 754-nucleotide long non-coding RNA. RefSeq lists it as uncharacterized. The record is from RefSeq and is a predicted model, not a curated record. The transcript is spliced from 3 exons. Lineage: Eukaryota; Metazoa; Chordata; Mammalia; Carnivora; Herpestidae.